Molecule: ribosomal RNA, 449 nt
Filed under: uncultured bacterium
Lineage: Bacteria
Description: partial 16S ribosomal RNA
Rfam family: Bacterial small subunit ribosomal RNA
Source: RNAcentral
AACGAACGCUGGCGGCAGGCUUAACACAUGCAAGUCGAACGCAUCCUUCGGGGUGAGCGGCAGACGGGUGAGUAACGCGUGGGAACGUGCCCUUCAGUUCGGGAUAACCCAGGGAAACUUGGGCUAAUACCGGAUACGUGCGAGAGCAGAAAGAUUUAUCGCUGAAGGAUCGGCCGGCGUCUGAUUAGCUAGUUGGUGGGGUAAUGGUCCACCAAGGCGACGAUCAGUAGCUGGUCUGAGAGGAUGAUCAGCCACAUUGGGACUGAGACACGGCCCAAACUCCUACGGGAGGCAGCAGUGGGGAAUAUUGGACAAUGGGCGCAAGCCUGAUCCAGCCAUGCCGCGUGAGUGAUGAAGGCCUUAGGGUUGUAAAGCUCUUUCGUCCGGGACGAUAAUGACGGUACCGGAAGAAGAAGCCCCGGCUAACUUCGUGCCAGCCGCCGCCGUAA